This 451-nucleotide ribosomal RNA is filed under the name uncultured Anoxybacillus sp. RNAcentral describes it as "bacterial SSU rRNA". It matches the Rfam family "Bacterial small subunit ribosomal RNA", at positions 930 to 1382 of the family's 1533-position model. Lineage: Bacteria; Bacillati; Bacillota; Bacilli; Caryophanales; Anoxybacillaceae. The record is from RNAcentral.
CGGUGGAGCAUGUGGUUUAAUUCGACGCAACGCGAAAACCUUACCAGGUCUUGACAUCCCUGACAACCCGAGAGAUCGGGCGUUCCCCUUCGGGGGACAGGGUGACAGGUGGUGCAUGGUUGUCGUCAGCUCGUGUCGUGAGAUGUUGGGUUAAGUCCCGCAACGAGCGCAACCCUCGACCUUAGUUGCCAGCAUUCAGUUGGGCACUCUAAGGUGACUGCCGGCUAAAAGUCGGAGGAAGGUGGGGAUGACGUCAAAUCAUCAUGCCCCUUAUGACCUGGGCUACACACGUGCUACAAUGGGCGGUACAAAGGGUCGCGAACCCGCGAGGGGGAGCCAAUCCCAAAAAGCCGCUCUCAGUUCGGAUUGCAGGCUGCAACUCGCCUGCAUGAAGCCGGAAUCGCUAGUAAUCGCGGAUCAGCAUGCCGCGGUGAAUACGUUCCCGGGCCUU